UGUAACGACUCUCGGCAACGGAUAUCUCGGCUCUCGCAUCGAUGAAGAACGUAGCGAAAUGCGAUACUUGGUGUGAAUUGCAGAAUCCCGUGAACCAUCGAGUCUUUGAACGCAAGUUGCGCCCGAAGCCUUCCGGCCGAGGGCACGUCUGCCUGGGCGUCACGC
RNAcentral lists this ribosomal RNA (165 nucleotides) under Cereus alacriportanus. Its description in RNAcentral is "5.8S ribosomal RNA". It matches the Rfam family "5.8S ribosomal RNA". Rfam says of the family: 5.8S ribosomal RNA (5.8S rRNA) is a component of the large subunit of the eukaryotic ribosome. It is transcribed by RNA polymerase I as part of the 45S precursor that also contains 18S and 28S rRNA. Lineage: Eukaryota; Viridiplantae; Streptophyta; Magnoliopsida; Caryophyllales; Cactaceae. The record is from RNAcentral.